Scylla paramamosain (green mud crab) is the source of this 2299-nucleotide RNA transcript. RefSeq lists it as uncharacterized. The record is from RefSeq and is a predicted model, not a curated record. The transcript is spliced from 11 exons. Lineage: Eukaryota; Metazoa; Arthropoda; Malacostraca; Decapoda; Portunidae.
UGAAUUUGUUGCUUUUCAGAGAGGGGCAGUCGGUCUGUACAUGCGUGAGGUGGCGAGAGGCGUGUCCAGGGGGCGGCUAGUAGCGUGUGCCACCGUGGAAAUAUGUACAGACAUAAAGAAGACGCCCUCAAGAAAGAUGUGGUGAAGACAGUGUUAUGCACCACCACACCACCAUUACACUUCCUGUCUUGCUUGGUGAAUGAACAGAGCACCACUAACAUCACAUCAUUGCAUCACCACAUCACCACACCACCACCUCCUGUCCUGCCCCAGUGAAAUAGAACAUCACCACCACAUCACCACAUCAAGAGUCAGUGAUUGCCUGCAGCCAGCCCUAGCCUGACCCGCCAGACAUGUGUCCCAGGCCUUCCCCUAGCCUGUAGAGCCAUGUAAGCCUGCAGGUCAAGGUCAGGUAAAAAAAAAACAGGCCGUAACGUAAAAGAUCAAGACAUUUACGAAGACUGUCUUUGAUGGGCUCAGGUCCUCCGUGCAGACCACCAACAAGCAAGAGAUUGACGAAAUACAGGUUGUGAAGACGCUGCAAGCUGAUGCCUUCAGAGAUCGCGAAGGUCCUCACCUUGUUGUAGGAGAGCUGACAACAUGUACCAGCCAGCAGCAACUCCCAUGCUAACAGGCUUCUCCCCCGCGGGUAUGUAGCACCUCUGGAGUCGCUCGAUGAAGAAGAGGAUGCUGGCGAGGCCUGUCGUGUUAGCCGGGAUGCGCCGGUACAGAGCUGUGUCCGUUGGGGUUGUGUAGGCAAGCAUCUUCUUGGCAAGGUCCUCGUAGGUGGCCGCAAACAGUUUACGGCUGUGGGAUGAGAACUUGUCUUGUGAAUGUGACGUUGGGAGGAGGGAAGCACAGGGGAAGAGGAGGACGAGGAGGAAGAGAGUUAAGAGUCACAAGAGGAGGAGGAAGGUGGAAAGAAAGAGGAAGGAGAGGAGGAGGAGGAGGAGGAGGAAGAUGGAGAAGGAAAGGAGAAAGAUAAGAAGGAAGGAAAUGCCGCAGAAGGAGAAGAGCAAUAAGAAAUUAGAAUUGACAGAGAAACCAGACAAGGGACUGCAUUUGAAGAAGCACAAGAACCAAGAAAUUACAUCAUUCAAUGAAAUGACAACAUAAUCUAAAAUAGAAAUCAAAAACGUCACAAGACAGAAUAGUGAGCUGCAUGCACUUAUCACAGAGUAUAAAGUCACUCCCUCAGAGGAAAAAGACAAGGAUGGCAUGUCUUCAUGUGAGAACUCAGAAGCUAAAUGUACAGAUACCAAGGGGAAAUUGCUGGGUCAAGUGGCUACACUGACAUCUGAGGUUAGCAGGUUGGAGAGUGAGUGCAGCAGUCUUCAGGUUCAGCUAGACUGUGAGAGGGAUAAGUAUAACAAACUGCUGGGAGAAUCUCUUGCUCAUGAAAAGUUGUCUGAAGAUGUCAUAACUGAACCAAAAGGAGAAACAACAGGAUUGGGAGGAACUGAGCUUUAACAGAAGCUGCAACAACUGCAGGAGGCUCACAGGGUCCUGGAGAGCAGGUUAACUUGCAGCAUGAAGGAGGUGGCUGAGCUAAGUGACAGGAAGUAGCAGCUUAAGCAUGCUGUAGUGCAUGAGGAGACAGAGUCCAUCGGUGUAUGCAUGUUUUUUGCUCAUUUGAAUCAUCUGUAAAAGUGAAGUGGAGGAAGUGUUUACUGUUUACUGUAUGCCAUUUCCUUGGUCUUUUAAUGAAGAAUUUUAUCCUUCUUCAGGUGACUACAUCACCAUCUACCAGUUGCAGCGAGGAGUGAUGAAGCAACAAGCUCGAGAACGCGAGUUAGACCUUGCCAGCCUCCAUCAUGAAUGAGAGGAAAUGAAGCAAAACCACUCUGCAGGAUUUGAUAUCAAAGCUGGUGCAGGAAAAGGAAGCAGAUCAUGACCUUCAGCAGCUCGAGAAGAUAAGCAGCGUCCUUAAGAGUCCAGUUGCUAUCUUUAGCAGUGUUGGAACCAGUGAGUCUGAGACACCCACCAGCAGUGGAAAGCUGGCUGACGAGCGCCUCAAGCACUCUGAAAAGGUGGAGCAACAACAAGAAACAGAAAAUUGCAUCCAUCAUUCUUUGCCUGAGGAGGGAAUUGAUGCUCUGUUGACCCUUCACACUGAUGUCCCUCAUGAGGAGGCAGAAUAUGAAUCCUACAGAACUUGCCCAUAGAAAGACCAAAACUGUUACUGCUGCCACACUGCCACCACUUCCACUGACACCAAAAGCCCAACUGUGCAGAGAAUCCUGGACCUCCGCAAUGAAAUGGAGUCCACCAGUCACCUGGAGCACUUUAGCCUCCAAAA